Molecule: long non-coding RNA, 2738 nt
Organism: Lolium rigidum
Lineage: Eukaryota; Viridiplantae; Streptophyta; Magnoliopsida; Poales; Poaceae
Exons: 7
Source: RefSeq, a predicted model, not a curated record
CCCAAUCCCCACGCCCCCUCUCCCCAAUCCCCUCGCUCCAUCUCCCCAAUCCCCUCCUCCCCUGCCACCAAUUUGCUGGUCUCUUCCAUGGAUGGAACAGGGAGAGGCGACGGGAGUGCGCCAUGGUUGAGGAGGUGGAGCUGAUGGCUGAGGAUGCGGGGCUCGACAUGAAGGAGCACGCAGGGAAGAUGACGAACCACGCCAUCUACAUCGUGCGCAUCGCCGGCGGCAUCCCCGCGGACAGCUCCUCUGUCUCCACCACGUUCUUCUCUCCUCUGGCUGUGUCGAUUUGGCUCUGAUGUACCAUGUAGCCACCAUGGAUAUUUCUUGGUAUUUUCUUUCUAGGAAUUAUUUAGUUCAUUUUUUGUGGGAGUCAUUGGCACUUAAACAACGAAUCUAGAGCCAAUAGUUUCUUCCAGCUAUUCUGUUGAUGACUUUUCCUUUGUUUAGAUCCAGAUUUACUAUGAUUUAUUUAAGUGUGAUAUUGGUGCUGUCUUGUUGCAGGUUUGCAAAUAGGAAUUUAGGGAUUCCCACAAAAUCUUGCAGAUUCGAGGGCCAGCCACGCCAUGACAGAAACUAGAGCUUAGAAAUAAUCGGUUCAUUUGGUGUAGGUUGAUCUCAUACUUCACGGAUGACUUCUCCCUGUCUAUGAUAUGUUUAUAUGGAAAUAUAUAUACAUAUAUCUGUUGUGAUACCUGGAGAGAUGAAGCCUCUCUUCAAGGCAUGCACAUCAGCAUGGCAUUAGCGAUAACAAUAGCAGUCGUGGCAUAGCCACCAACUUCUGCGAGCGCUGGUGGUCUUGGUGGCUGAACCAAUAGUCCCAUUGUGUGCCCUCAGUUUACCCUUCCCCAAAUUAAGAUAUGGAGAUUGCCAGCAGGCUUGCUAAUUUUGUUGACAACGCGCCCAAAGCAACUCAGAGAUGGUGCAGGGGAAUGCGCUCACUAAUCUGGGUAUAUUUUGACUGCCAUAUCGUUCCAAACCUCACAGUCAUCUCGGCCAUUCAUUAAUGGAUGACAGGAUUCACCUUCCACACAUGCGAAGUAUACAUACCCUAUAUAGACUGAACCUGAUGACUUUUAGAUUCAGAAAUCUGGUGCUGCUCCUAUUUAUUCCAAAAAUUCAAUGAAGAUGGUGGCCAUCUAUUUCACAAGUGCAGCCUUGUGUGUAUUGUGGAUGAUCUGAAACAAUGUGCUAUGAGAUCAAGUGGAAGCCACCGGUAAACGAUGUUCUGAAGAUAGAUAUUAAUGGGAGCAUGGACCCAGCCAGUGCGUCUGGUGGCAGGGGUUUGGUCUUUACGGAUGAGCUCGGAGUUGUGGCCAGUUCAGGUGCUGGCCAUAUGGAGCAUGUGCAGGACGUUCUCCACACUGAGGCAGAGGCCUACCUGCAAUCACUGUUUGAAGCUCAAAAUCUGGUGUAUUUCUCGUGUUCACGUCGAAACUGACUCACAACUUUUGGUGCAAGCGAUCAAGGGAAGCAAGCAAUAGUGCUAUUUUUAGGGAUAUUAAAUUUCGAAUUUCGUUAAACUUCUCUAUUUUAAGUAUUUUGUAAUGCAUGACCUCGGGCCUGUAAUAAAGUGGCGGGCUCUAUGGCGAUGCAUGGCGUUGAGAUUAGGGCUCAGCCCCCCAUCCUUUUGGCCGGGUUGUGUCCUGACUUCACAUCUGAUUAGGUACCCUGAGAGGGAAAGCGAUAGACUGAUAUAAGACACAUGAUAUGUUAUGUUCUUUUCCUCCUCUUCGUCAACUGAUAAUUUUUGAAAUGAAUAGUUAUUCACUUUUAAUUUAUUGCUUGCUUAUUAUCGAUGUUUACAAAUGGAUACACAAUAAACACGGGUACCUCAAGCCUAUUUGGAAGAGUGCUAUUGUUUGUGCCUAUUUUGUUCUACACUUACCGCUUACUCAUAAUAGAUUUUUGGCAUGGUUAAUAUAUAUAGUUGUUUGCAAGUGGGAAAGUCACUAUUUUUUUUUGCAUUACAGUUACAUCUUAGCAGUUUUUCCUACCUGCUUACUUAACCUUCCGUUGGUUUUCAUGGCUAAAACCAAUUUCUAUUCAGUACUGCUCCAAUUCAUGUUCAUAUAGUACUUAAACAAGAAGCAAAUGAGUGAUAUGUGGUAUUGAGGUUUUGAGGUUUUCCUUCUGUUUCAGAUGAAAUAAUUGUUCUAUAGGGCAAGGAUUAAUUUUCUGCUUCAGGGACAAGCUAAGAUGCCUCAAAGGUCAUAUGAGCUCCUCCAAUUGAAAUAUAGUUUGAUUUUUGUUGCUAUCUAACUUGAUGAGAUGGAGAAACCACAAACAGCGAUGGUAAGACUGUUAUCAUCUGAUCUGGAAAGCCUUGCUCCAGGAAUCGCUGCCUCGGAUUGAGUGAGUCUGAAGAUGUGCUUUAGUCAGCACCUAAGUUGAGUUUGAAGAGGUGAAUUUUUUGCACACUAAACAUGUGCGCUGACAGGCGGUCAAUUAUAUUCAAUCCAGCAGGAGCUAUGAAAUAAGAUGGUAAGACAAAUUUAGAAGCUUUUGUAUAGUCUACAAAUAUCACUUUGACAGGAAAUGAGAAGCUUUAUCACUUGGCAGGCCAAAUAAAUAUCACUUUGGAAUUUUGGUUCCCACCAGAGCAACCAAAUAUGAAGCUAAGAUUAAGGAGAAAGCGAGACCAACAAAAACCUUUUUUUGUGUAAAAAGGCCACCUCUGUAUAACCAAAAUGAAUAGUUGGUUGUAUAUAAGUUCUUCUACUCAAAUAAUGAUUUUA